This is a small nucleolar RNA of Sardina pilchardus (European sardine), 137 nucleotides long. The record is from RefSeq and is a predicted model, not a curated record. Lineage: Eukaryota; Metazoa; Chordata; Actinopteri; Clupeiformes; Clupeidae.
GUGGCCCUGAAUCAAGGCUAGCAGUUUGUUGUAGCUACUGGCUUCAAACAGUGGCCCACAGUAAACUCUCCCAAUGGACUGUUGACUUUCCCAUUCAACCUCAUAUGUGAAAAUCAAUUCAUUUGGAAGUAACAAGU